RNAcentral lists this ribosomal RNA (250 nucleotides) under uncultured bacterium. RNAcentral describes it as "partial 16S ribosomal RNA". It matches the Rfam family "Bacterial small subunit ribosomal RNA", at positions 526 to 779 of the family's 1533-position model. The record is from RNAcentral.
CGUAGGGUGCAAGCGUUAAUCGGAAUUACUGGGCGUAAAGCGUGCGCAGGCGGUGAUGCAAGACAGAUGUGAAAUCCCCGGCUUAACCUGGACUGCAUUGUGACUGCAUCGCUGGAGUGCGGCGAGAGGGGGAUGGAAUUCCGCGUGUAGCAGUGAAAUGCGUAGAUAUGCGGAGGACACCGAUGGCGAAGGCAAUCCCCUGGGCCUGCACUGACGCUCAUGCACGAAAGCGUGGGGAGCAAACAGGAUU